GGCCAUUCUGGUGAUAAUGGUUGUACUCCAGGUAAAAAAAUAUUAUAAUUCUUCUAUUCCACAUAUGUAGUUGUUUCGGUUAUUGUUAUAUGUUGUUUCCUUCGUAUAUAUGCAAGAUCUUAUCAUCGAGUUUCAUUGGCAAGUUAACUUUAAGAAUCAUAUUAAGCUGGCAGCUAUGGUUGGUACUGAUGGGAGUUGCUCAUUUUAGGUGCUGAUGGUCCAAGAAUUGUAAAGAUAAGGCGGGGGAACCUUAUUUGUGUGGUGGAUGCAAGUAUGUUAUGAGGUCAAUUUGUAACUUAUUAUACUGCAGUAACGGACCAAGCCAUGAAUUAGUACCAAACUUCAGGAUUGGUGAGAAGAAGCAUGAACUUAUAAUGUUGUUAGUACCCUAAUCUUGACUUGUCGCUGAUGGACCACAAUGUUCAAGCUCAGCAAAUACUCUUGAACAGCAAAAAUUAUUGGGUCUCAAAACACCUGCAAAUUAAGCCGCUUGAUGAAAGUUCAGAUAUGUGUGAAGUCUUGGCAUUCCCAUGUAAUCAGUGGUGUUCAUUUUUGAAAUACUGCUUUGUACUCCCUCCAUAACAAAAUGUAAGAUGUUUUUGUGCCCUGUGCAAACCA
RNAcentral lists this long non-coding RNA (618 nucleotides) under Triticum aestivum (bread wheat). RNAcentral's name for it is "long non-coding RNA (TAES_LNC027860)". Lineage: Eukaryota; Viridiplantae; Streptophyta; Magnoliopsida; Poales; Poaceae. The record is from RNAcentral.